GUCCCUUUCAACUCUACAGUUCUGUGAUUCUAUGGGGGGGGAGAGAGAGAGAGAGAGAGAGAGGUUCCCUCGCAUAUAAGUGUAUAAAUAUGCUGCAUUGGAUGUAAAUAUGUGAACACAGAAGCAUAGAUUUGUAGGGUUGGAAGGGAC
Non-coding RNA from Podarcis lilfordi (Lilford's wall lizard), 150 nucleotides. NCBI's taxonomy places the organism in Eukaryota, Metazoa, Chordata, Lepidosauria, Squamata, Lacertidae. The record is from the annotation of a GenBank genome assembly.